This 408-nucleotide ribosomal RNA is filed under the name uncultured bacterium. RNAcentral describes it as "partial 16S ribosomal RNA". It matches the Rfam family "Bacterial small subunit ribosomal RNA", at positions 28 to 526 of the family's 1533-position model. The record is from RNAcentral.
GACGAACGCUGGCGGCGUGCUUAACACAUGCAAGUCGAACUAAGUGGCGAACGGGUGAGUAACUCGUAAUCAACCUGCCCUUCAGCGUGGGACAACAGUUGGAAACGACUGCUAAUACCGCAUACUGCAGCAUGGGCUUGCGUCUGGUUAGCUAGUUGGAGGGGUAACGGCCCACCAAGGCGAUGAUCAGUAGCCGGGCUGAGAGGAGGAACGGGAAAAGUGGGACUGAGACAAGGCCCAGAAUCCUAGGGGAGGCAGCAGUGGGGAAUCGUACGCAAUGGACGAAAGUCUGACGGAGAAACGCCGCGUGAGUGAUGACGGCCUUCGGGUUGUAAAGCUCUGUUAAUCGGGACGCGGUACCGGAAUAGAAAGCCACGGCUAACUACGUGCCAGCAGCCGCGGUAAUUC